UACGGGGGGGGCAAGCGUUGUUCGGAAUUACUGGGCGGAAAGGGUGCGUAGGCGGCUUUCUAAGUUGGAUGUGAAAACUCUGGGCUCAACCCAGAGCCUGCAUCCAAAACUGGAGAGCUAGGGUUCUGGAGGGGAAAGCGGAAUUCCUGGUGUAGCGGUGAAAUGCGUAGAUAUCAGGAGGAACACCGGUGGCGAAGGCGGCUUUCUGGACAGAUACCGACGCUGAGGCACGAAAGCUAGGGGAGCAAACAGG
This 253-nucleotide ribosomal RNA is filed under the name uncultured bacterium. RNAcentral describes it as "partial 16S ribosomal RNA". It matches the Rfam family "Bacterial small subunit ribosomal RNA", at positions 524 to 776 of the family's 1533-position model. The record is from RNAcentral.